RNAcentral lists this unclassified non-coding RNA (241 nucleotides) under fungal sp. RNAcentral describes it as "partial internal transcribed spacer region". The stretch from base 1 to 45 matches the Rfam family "Eukaryotic small subunit ribosomal RNA", at positions 1787 to 1831 of the family's 1831-position model. Lineage: Eukaryota; Fungi. The record is from RNAcentral.
AGUCGUAACAAGGUAUCCGUAGGUGAACCUGCGGAUGGAUCAUUAUAGGAUGAUGGAAUGGAUGUGAGUGGUUUUAUUAAUAGUUUGAGCGGUGUUGGUUGGGAUGCUUGCAGGAUUGCCAAGCAGGAUUGCCAAGCAGGAUUGCCAAGCAAGACAGCCAACUUGCCUCACGUUAAACUCUAUAAAUCUAACAAUUACAUACAAAAAAAAACAACUUUUAGCAACGGAUCUCUUGGCUCUC